GAUCAUGGCUCAGAUUGAACGCUGGCGGCAGGCCUAACACAUGCAAGUCGAACGGUAACAGGAAGAAGCUUGCUCUUGCCGACGAGUGGCGGACGGGUGAGUAAUGUCUGGGAAACUGCCUGAUGGAGGGGGAUAACUACUGGAAACGGUAGCUAAUACCGCAUAACGUCGCAAGACCAAAGAGGGGGACCUUCGGGCCUCUUGCCAUCGGAUGUGCCCAGAUGGGAUUAGCUAGUAGGUGGGGUAACGGCUCACCUAGGCGACGAUCCCUAGCUGGUCUGAGAGGAUGACCAGCCACACUGGAACUGAGACACGGUCCAGACUCCUACGGGAGGCAGCAGUGGGGAAUAUUGCACAAUGGGCGCAAGCCUGAUGCAGCCAUGCCGCCGUGUAUGAAGAAGGCCUUCGGGUUGUAAAGUACUUUCAGCGGGGAGGAAGGGAGUAAAGUUAAUACCUUCGCUCAUUGACGUUACCCGCAGAAGAAGCACCGGCUAACUCCGUGCCAGCCGCCGC
RNAcentral lists this ribosomal RNA (513 nucleotides) under uncultured bacterium. RNAcentral's name for it is "bacterial SSU rRNA". It matches the Rfam family "Bacterial small subunit ribosomal RNA", at positions 15 to 518 of the family's 1533-position model. The record is from RNAcentral.